GACGAACGCUGGCGGCGUGCUUAACACAUGCAAGUGGAGCGACGAACCAGGGCUUGCCCUGGGGCAGAGCCGCGAACGGGUGAGUAACACGUGGGUUACCUGCCUCGAUGACCGGGACAACCCGAGGAAACUCGGGCUAAUACCGGAUGUGCCCGCAAGGGGAAAGGAAGCUUCGGCCUCCGCAUCGAGAUGGGCCCGCGGCCCAUUAGCUUGUUGGUGAGGUAACGGGUCACCAAGGCUUCGGUGGGUAGCUGGUCUGAGAGGACGAUCAGCCAGACUGGGACUGAGACACGGCCCAGACUCCGACGGGAGGCAGCAGGCGAGAAGCUUCGGCAAUGGGCGAAAGCCUGACCGAGCGACGCCGCGUGAGCGAAGAAGGCCCUAUGGGUUGUAAAGCUCUGUCAGAUUGGGAAGAAAACCUCGCGGUUAAUACCCGCGAGGCCUGACGGUACCAUCAGAGGAAGCACCGGCUAACCCCGUGCCAGCCGCCGCCGUAA
Molecule: ribosomal RNA, 497 nt
Filed under: uncultured bacterium
Lineage: Bacteria
Description: partial 16S ribosomal RNA
Rfam family: Bacterial small subunit ribosomal RNA
Source: RNAcentral